CUCCUGGCCCUGUGAGAUGUUCUUGCUGGGACCUACACUGGAUAGCUAUUUCUGCCACAUGGAGUUUGAGAUCCUGACUGUCUCAAUGCAGGUGUUUUCUUGGCUUGCAGAUACAAUUCAAGGAGACAACAGGUCCCAGUGCCUCAUCAGGAUUAAAACCCAGCUCUCAUCUCCAUUCCAGUGUCUUCCUGCUAGCUACCCCUUGCCAGGUGGCCUUAGACAGCAGGUUCCACGUGGCACACAUGCCAUCCCUACCAGCUAGUUCCAGCUUGCUGGUAGACCCAAAGCACCAUGCACUUGCUCAGCCCAGGCAGGCCUACGCAGCUACUGCAGCCCAGGUGACAUAUAUUACUUCCAGACCUCAGCAUCCUUACAAGGCAGCCUCUUCUCUUAAGUGCUUUACAGCUUCUCUUCAGCGUUUCUGAACUGCCAGAUCCUUACCCCUAAGCCUUGUUUAGGUGAAGGUCCUUGGAACACAGACACGGACAUCAUACAGUGGAUCUGACAACUGAGAUAGCUUGCUACAUGGGAAGGCCACAGAGAAGUCCUCACAGUUCAGAGCCAUCUGCAGUUCUGCUCAAGACCAGAGGCGCCACAAAGAGUCAUGAAGACUCUGUGG
Mesocricetus auratus (golden hamster) is the source of this 619-nucleotide long non-coding RNA. RefSeq lists it as uncharacterized. The transcript is spliced from 3 exons. Lineage: Eukaryota; Metazoa; Chordata; Mammalia; Rodentia; Cricetidae. The record is from RefSeq and is a predicted model, not a curated record.